RNAcentral lists this ribosomal RNA (711 nucleotides) under Triticum aestivum (bread wheat). Its description in RNAcentral is "partial small subunit ribosomal RNA". The record is from RNAcentral. Lineage: Eukaryota; Viridiplantae; Streptophyta; Magnoliopsida; Poales; Poaceae.
AUGAUUGCAAAGUUGCCUCCUUCAUGGAGGAAUUUCGCCACAACUCUGAAGCAUAAGAGACAGGAGAUAUCAGUUGAAAAUCUGAUUGCAUCUCUUGAUGUUGAAGAAAAAGCUCGGGCUAAAGAUACCAGUGAAAAAGGAGGUGAGGUUCAGCCUACUGCUAACAUGGUGCAGAGGUACCCACAGAACAAGAACAAAGGGAAGAACAAACCUGUUUUCAACAAGCCUACCAAGACUACUACCUUCAAGAAGAAGAAGUUCAACAAGGCUGAGCUAGAGUGCUACGCCUGUGGGAAGCCUGGACACUUUUCCAAGGAAUGCCCUGAACGUGCAGACCGCAGAGGGAAAACAAGCUCCAAGACUGUCAACAUGGUGACCGCUAGCAAUACUGAUGGGUAUGGUAAUUUACCUAUUGUGCUUUCAGUAUUUCAAUCAUCUUCGUGGUGGAUUGAUUCGGGUGCUAACGUUCAUGUGUGUGCUGACAUCUCCAUGUUUACUUCUUAUCAGGUCGCAAGGGAUUCUUCCGUCCUAAUGGGGAACGGGUCACAUGCUUCUGUUCGUGGGAUUGGCACGGUGGAUCUGAAGUUUACUUCGGGAAAGAUCGUGCAACUAAGAAACGUGCAACAUGUCCCUACUAUGAACAAGAAUCUAGUUAGCGGCUCCCUUCUAUGUCGAGAUGGAUUUAAGGUAGUUUUAGGUCCAAUAAAGUAA